This 717-nucleotide ribosomal RNA is filed under the name Triticum aestivum (bread wheat). RNAcentral describes it as "partial small subunit ribosomal RNA". The record is from RNAcentral. Lineage: Eukaryota; Viridiplantae; Streptophyta; Magnoliopsida; Poales; Poaceae.
AUGUUUACUAGUAAUCCAUCCCCAACAUGGCAGACUAUCAGUUAUGGGUUGGAUCUGCGGAAGAAGGGGCUGGUUUGGAGGAUCGCAAAUGGCCAAAAUGUUAGAAUAUGGAGGGACAGAUGGGUGGUGCGUGAGCCCUUUGGCGGCUUGAUCUCGAGGAAGGGGCGUUGUUGGUUCAAGUGGGUGUUUGAGCUCAUGGAUUAUAAUGGAACAUGGGACCAAACCAAACUACAACAAUUCUUUGUACCCAUUGACAUAUGUGAGAUCUUGAAAAUACGACCAUCUCCACGACUUGGUGUAGACUUUCUUGCUUCGGCACCAGAGAAGUCGGGCAUAUUUACUGUGCGCAGUGCUUAUCAACUUGCGUCGGAUGAAGUGAGCAAUAGUUCCAUUGCAACUUCCAGUGAACAUGCUGAUGGAGCGCGGGUGGGAUGGAAGCACAUCUGGUCCACUCCAGCUCCACCAAAGGCUGACCACUCAAAGGACAAGUACCCAGCUAUGGUGUGUUUUCCUUUGACUGCUCCUACAUGCAAUAUAAAGCGCCUUGAUCCCAGCCCUUGGGCUCCUUCUGCGGCUCGAAGGGUAAAGCUGAACACCGACAGAUCUGUGCUAAAUGGAGUAGCAGGUGGUGUCUGCUGGAGGACGUCCAAGUAUUCAUCUUCGCUGGUCUUCCAAUCGCUGCAUAUACAAGUAUUUUGGGCACCUACUGGUACAUAA